CCCCCCCACCCCAGCAGGGGGGUGUCGGUCAGAGGCAGCCGCCAGGUGCUCAAGGGCACCGCUGAGGCCGUCUGGAGGCUUCCAAUCAGAUGGGGGUCACCUGCCCCCCAAAUCCAGGCCCCCCUCGGAAACUGGGGAGCCCCAAUCCAGCGACAGGAUGGGGCCUUUGGAAGGAAGUUCAGGAGCAGCCCCCCCGCCCCGCCUGGCCCUGGAUGAGAAUUUCCGAGCUCGGAAAGUGUUGCCUCCGACGCAGGGGAAUUCGAGGCAAGCCCUCGCCUCGACAGAUGAAGAGGAACUGAUCACAGAACCAAGAAUUAAUGGUAACUUAGGCACCGAGAACCUGCACCCAAGCGUUUGAAAAGAGCUGGCUGAGACUGUUAACGUUGGUUUUCAGUAAGUCUUGGAAGUCCCGGAAGACUGGAGGAAAGCUAACGUCGUGCCAGUAUUUUAAAAGGGUAAAGGGCACGACCCAGGGAAUUAUCGACCUGUCAGUUUGAAAUCGAUCCUGGGCAGGAUAAUGGAGCAGCUGAUACGGGAGUCAACUAAUAAAGAAUCACAGAAAGAUGAUA
This is a long non-coding RNA of Mauremys reevesii (Reeves's turtle), 569 nucleotides long. RefSeq lists it as uncharacterized. The transcript has 3 exons. NCBI's taxonomy places the organism in Eukaryota, Metazoa, Chordata, Testudines, Geoemydidae. The record is from RefSeq and is a predicted model, not a curated record.